GAGGGUAUAGCUCAGUGGUAGAGCACUUGCUUAGCAUGCAAGAGGUCCUGGGUUCAAUCCCCAGUAUUGCCA
Molecule: transfer RNA, 72 nt
Filed under: Camelus bactrianus (Bactrian camel)
Lineage: Eukaryota; Metazoa; Chordata; Mammalia; Artiodactyla; Camelidae
Also listed under: 2 other names
Rfam family: tRNA
About the family: Transfer RNA (tRNA) molecules are approximately 80 nucleotides in length. Their secondary structure includes four short double-helical elements and three loops (D, anti-codon, and T loops).
Source: Rfam by way of RNAcentral